GCCUGGGUGGCUUAGUUGGUUAAGCGUCUGACUUCAGCUCAGGUCAUGAUCUCACAGUUUGUGAGUUCGAGCCCCGCGUCAGGCU
RNAcentral lists this transfer RNA (85 nucleotides) under Felis catus (domestic cat). It matches the Rfam family "tRNA". Rfam says of the family: Transfer RNA (tRNA) molecules are approximately 80 nucleotides in length. Their secondary structure includes four short double-helical elements and three loops (D, anti-codon, and T loops). The record is from Rfam by way of RNAcentral. Lineage: Eukaryota; Metazoa; Chordata; Mammalia; Carnivora; Felidae.